RNAcentral lists this long non-coding RNA (41691 nucleotides) under Lactuca sativa (garden lettuce). RNAcentral describes it as "long non-coding RNA (LSAT_LNC003107)". Lineage: Eukaryota; Viridiplantae; Streptophyta; Magnoliopsida; Asterales; Asteraceae. The record is from RNAcentral.
AUUAUUGAGUAUGACUUCAAACCCCGACUAGCAAUCGUAGAUCUAAAAAGAUUCUGUCGAACUCUGAACUUGCCGAUGAUCUCUGACCUUUGUCAAUGACUUAAGGGAUCAUAUAUUCCUCCAUUCUAGAUAUCAUAUGGACCGAGACAUGGAUUAUAAAUCGUUCUCUCUGUCCAUUUUUUGUUUCCCGAUUUCUGAUUUAUGACGACUGACUGAUUGAACAAAUCAAAUCAGACCUGGCUUGGCCAAGCACUCAUAUGUGUCAUCACUAAAUCAUCGAGGGGCCCACAUAUAUCACUUUUAUCCUGAAGGUAAAAGGAAUGGAUAAACUUCGACUCAUAUGGCUUGUUCUACUACUUGUUGAAUCAUACACAAAGUCACAUUUUAUAACAUCGAGUUUCAGAAUGUGUUUUUGUGCAAUCAAUGUACAACCAACUCAUAGUAACAACUCAUAUCUCUAGGUUUGAAGAAUAUAAAAUACUAUAAAAUACUAUCGUCUCAUGAUCACUCGUGAUAAAAUCCAUGAAGUGAUUCAAAUGAGUGCAGGUUGAAUCCAGUACUCAGAACUUAUAAGCACUCAUGAGUGUUGUAGCACAACUUUGUCCACCAACUUGGACCUCUACAAACCAACCCAUAACAGUCUUGAUUCAUAUCUACUUCUAACAUAUAACUGACUGUGGAUGGUUUGAAUAACUUAGUCAUUCCGGAAGAAUAACCUAGUUCCAAGCAUGUACACUAUGUUUUUUCUAAACAAUAGCUUUGCCAUACCCCAAGUAUGCACUCUAUGUUUAUCUAUGAUCCUUACUUUGUGAACUAGAUCGAUUGAACAUAAUUUCAAUGAUUCUUUUUUCACACUUCCAAAUCCUUGUCGUAAAUGUAAGAAUUCCUAACAUUUAUCGAAAUUUGUUUAGAUUUUAAACUUAUAUGCACUGUUCCUCUUGUAAUGAUUAUGCAAAAAGCCACAAAGACUUGGCAACAAUCAUUAUAGAGUAUUCCAAUGGAGAGCAAUCCCAUGGAAACGAUGUCUCAAAUUCAAAGCGCAUUUCUUUGAACAUGCUUCUUGCAUUAAGUUUCUUUAACCUUACACAAAUUGCUUCCACCCAUGAACACAACUCUAUAUUCCUAUUUUGACUACCACUUCUGAACAAGAGUUGCCACUUUUCAGACUAGGUCAAUAUGAUCCUUCCAAAGUUAACACCAGGGCCGGCCUUACCUUGUGUCAAAUUAAGUAAGGGCUUAGGGCCCAAUUCUAGAUUACUAAUUCAAAAAAUCUACGCCACAAUCAACAAUUCCACAACAAAGAGACGAUUCGAUUUUGAAAAAACAACGCCUUCUGUUCUUCUUUCUUCUUUUAUUCUUCCUUCUCUAGAUUGUUCAAAUCAGUUGUGGCGUCUCAAUCAACUGUAAGUGUUUUCCACUUUUCUAGUUUUUGAGUUUUCCAUUAUAUUCUAGUCUUAGUGGUUGUUAUUGUAGAUGAUGCCUUUUGAUUUUAAUAUUUCAUGUAUUUUGUAGAUUAGUUAGUGUGACUCCAUGGCAUCUGUUAAUUGCCUUUAAAAAUUCUUUCGAUACUCAAUAGCCUCUCUUUUUAAGAUAUGUAAGAAGAUGGUAGGAAUAUUGACAAAAAAAGUUGUAGUUAGUAUUUACACCAGCAGGCAAGCACUGAUAUGUCUACACUAGGCUAGAAAUUUGCAAUGAUGAUUCUGUUGGAAGACCAUAUAAUGAAAAAAAGGAUAUAAAGUUUGUUUGAAUUAAACUAUAAUAGUACUCCAUUUAGGGAGAUUGUAAAGCCAAGAUGUAAAAAAUUAAUGUUUAUCUCCUGUAAUAAAACUUAACAUUACAAACUUAAAACAUAUAUUGUUACUAUAGUUUAAUCCCAAAAGUCUGUUGCUGAAACAGUUCUUAUAUAUAGUUUAGUUAUAAAAAAUUUAAUUUCCUCUAAGAGAGGAUUGGUUCUAAUCAAUAUAUAUCCACAGAUUAAUGCUACUGAAACAGUUCUUAUAUAUAGUUUAGUUAUCAAAAAUUUAAUUUCCUCUAAGAGAGGACUGGUUCUAAUCAAUAUAUAUCCACAAGUUAAUACUACUGAAAUAGUUCUCAUAUAAUAGUGUGUGAGUUUGGAAUAUGAAGAUUGUGAACCUGGUGUAACAUGGUGAAAGGGAGUCGAAAUGCCAUAAAAAUGUCCAGUUAUUUAAAAAGAUGCCAAUAAAUGAUAUUUGAAAUAUAUAACUAGUAAUUGNUAUUUAGAUCAUAAUGUCCUCAAAGUAGAUGAAAACACGUAUCUAAAUUUUAUUAUAUUCAAAAUGAACUAGCUAUUUUGUGUUGAUCUAGUGCCUAAUUUUGUACAUUUAAAGUCUAUAAAUAAUCAACAAAAGAAUGGCUACUCUUUGGUGUAUGAGAAAUACGUUAAAUCAAAAUCAAUGGUUGAUGAUAAAUCACAUCUUUUUAGAAGUAUUAAUGAUUUGGUUAUGUUAAAUCAUAUAUUGGCGUUUAUUUUGGUUGAUCUUUCUAAAGAUUAUGUUUGUUGGUAUCAAGCCAGGAUAAACGAGAGUUUAUAACAUUAAGUUUAGUAAAAGCCGAAGGGCCUCAAAUCUUUGGUUUGCUUAGAGCCCCCAAACUGGUUGAGCCACCCCUGGUUAACACUAUACUUCCAACUGUCCUUGAGCAACCAAUCACUUUAGUCAAAUCCAAUUCUAGACCUUUUCCACUCUUAAUGCCCCAGGCAUUUGGAAAAGUUUAGAAAUGAUGAAUAUUAUAGCACAUGCAAUCGAUCCUGUACCCUAAGCAAACGGAACAUGAUUCAUGAUGUCUCACAUAUAGACAUGAUUCUAGACCAGUCUUUCGCUACAAUAUUAUUUAUUUGCUAUGUUCAUAAGAUUUGACUAUGAAGAGGGAUUCCGUAAUCAUAAUCGAAUUUUGAUAAUGCAAUAUAAAUAGAAUUUCCUCUUGUUGAACCAAUCCAACAUGAAAUUCAUAUAUAUAUAUAUAUAAAUAUAUAUAUAUAUAUAUAUAUUCUUGACUAAAGAUGAUUAAAAUCUCAAUCUAAGCUUAAAAUCUCACUCUAAGCCUUUUAGAAUUGACAUGCAGUAUAAUUUCCUCUCCCUUUAUUAUAGCAAAACACCUUUUUUUAACGAAUUGAAGUUUUUUUUUUCUAUAAUUAACAUUGCUAACUUGCAAUAAUUAUCAUAAUUAUCAUGCUCCCACUAACAUGAUGAUUAUUAGCAUAACACUUAUGCUCCCACUAGCUUUGACAUGUAUCCAGAAAACAAUUGGACCUCUAGAAGUUAAUACUUUAUUGACAAUCUUACCAAAGUUCAGAUUUCUGAUACUAGAUUGCUUUGAUAAGAUUUUAUCAAAGUCAUACACCUUAUCUUAGAUAGCUCACAGGUGUGUCUAAACAAUUUUAGAACUAUGAAAAGGGAUGUCGUAAUCAUAGUCUCAAUUGUUUAGACCUUUGCUCUUUCUCAUAAGUCUAUGUUAGUGUGCUCUACUAACGACUUUGAGAAAGCAAAGAUUGGUAUCUACUUAAAAUCUACUUGGUUGAAGUGUUUCCUCACCAUCAUUUUCAUGAAUUGGAGAGAAACCUUAUGACACUUAGAUUUUAUGGUGUAUGUGUUCCUAUCCAUAUGAAUUUGUCAAAACCAUAAUCACAAGACAAGGUUAUUGACAAAUCCAAACUCUUAUGGAUUGAACUUGUGCAGUCUUAGCUUCUUGCCACCUGGCAGCUCAAGGGCCUACCAUUGCUUCCAAGUUGGUAUGCAACCAAUUGAGAACUCUAAGAACUCAUAUGCAAAGCCAACUUUAACUCAAAUGGGCACAGAAAUUGAAAUAUGUCAACAUGAUAGGUUAUAAACCUCACGUCGUGUGCUAUUGUUAAACUACAAGUUUUUUAUUCUUGAUUAGAUCUUGAAAUUCUUUUCAGGAUCUUUAAGACUCCCACUGUUCUCUUGACAUACAAGAAUAUCUUGCCAAAUAUUCAAGAGAUAGUGCAGAUUCUUUAUCAAGACAAACACUUCACACAAUUGGCCUAAGUUGGUCUUUGUUUUAUCCAAAACAUCACAACUUACCAAAUUCAAAUGUACAGGAGUAGGACACUUUUACUCUUACAUUUGCCAAUUGUUAUAAACCUUUUUUAAGAUAUGUCACUCAACUUACAGUCUUGGAGUAUGACUCAGAGAAUUGUUUUGGAACGAAGUAUGACUCGUCUUCUUGAUUUAUCCAUUCCAACAAUUCAAGAUUCCUCUUCUUAGUCAUAAGAAUGAACUAAUAUUUCCUUAAAGGACUAAUUGUGAUAUGAUUUCCAAAUCAUUAACAUGAUCACAAAACUUGAUACUAAAGUACUCUCCAAUGUUUUUAGAUUUGAGAAACUUUUAUCGUUCUGCCUAAUUUGAUUCUUCUCAUUCGUUCUGCCCUACACUGAAAAUUUUCCAAUGCUUCAGAAUUACACUUAAACUUGUAAGCGUAACCAUAUUUACUAGACUUUAGUAAAUCAUGACGAAUAGUAUUAUAGAUCUUUUGUGGUGGACUUGACCAGUGCACAAGAAUGUGUACUCGUUCCUUGAGUCCUUUCGCUUGACUCACACAUCCAUGUGAACAAGUAGUUAGUCUUACUUUUCCAAUGCUCGAAAGUUCUCAUUCAUCAUACUACACAACUUGCAUGAUUCCAAGUUUCGGUCCAAUUGAAACUUGGGUGAUGAGAAUCUUUCCUUGUUUGGUAAAUUUAGACAUUAAUACAAAUGAAAGAAUCAAAUUCAUAUUUCCAAUAUUGCUAUCAAUGGAAUCAUAUAAACAAAAUAUUUUUUCCUCAAAUGCCAUUGUAAGGAUAUUUUAAAAUAAAUAAAAUUAAAAACUUUUCUUUUAUUUUAAAACUUUGCGGAAAAACUAAUCCUUACAAUGAAAAUGUAUAUGAAAACUUGUUGUCAUCUAUUCUUUAGCAAUCUAUCAUAACUCUUAAGCACCUGCUUAAAAUUCUGAUCACCGAACCAUGCGAUCGAAAUCCAUCUUCGCGAUUAGAAUUAGCAUAUACUUCCUUCUCCACUUUUUCUUUGAUUCUUAAACAUCAAUAUGUGACCCAUUCACAUCAUGUAAUAAGAAUCUCAGAGUAGAAACUUAACAGAGUUAGAUAGUGGACUUUAACUAAAGUAGAGUCAAACUAAUUGACUUUAACAUCCUUAGGUAAAUUUAUUAGGUUCGCAAUGAAUUCCCCUCCCUUUGGCAAUUUAACAUACGGACUCUUUGAUUAUCGUACAUGAGACUAUCACAAACUUACCAUUUCUCUUUACCAUUUGGUCAACUUAAUUGACUUUGGCUGAUCCCUUUCCAUUAGGAAGAGCAUGCUUUUUUCUGGAUUUCCAGUGUCAUCAUUGUCAAUGUCCAUAAAGUUUUUUGGAAGUUAAUCUUAGCAAAUAGAUAAGAUCAUUAAGGGUCUUGUCAUAGUCUGUUUCAUAUGAGUCCUAAAGGAACUCACUAUGUGACUUAGAAAGUGAUUGAACCACCAACUUUCUCAAGACUUUGACACCUAACUCUCCUGGCUUGUCACUAUGUGACUUCAUCUACAAGAUGUGAGCACACCUAGACCUUGCCUUGCCAAUAGGGCUUGAGUGACCUUGAACUUGUGGGAUAGGGAGAAUAAUAGGAGGAGGUGGAGGAAGUGAAGUUCCAAGAGAUUUGGGAGAAUCAUAGAUGUCUGAACUAGACAUCUUUUGGGAGAUAUUCAGGAUAGUUGAUCUAAAGUCCUUAAUAUAACACCCAAUAUGAAAUUUUAAGGCUAGGAACCAACAAACUAUUUUAUAACUUGGAAGAGGGGUGCCGUAAUCCAAGCUAUAAAAUAUUUUGAAGAUAGGUGAAUGGCGAUUCACCAAUUUCCACCAGGAUAAACGAAAUGUAUUAUUAGGUUAUAAUUGAUUUUUGAAACUCCUAGAUUCUUUUGAGAUUCAUUGAACUCUUCAAUGGCAUGUUUCAAUCUCGAGUGUGCCCUUCAGGUUUUGUGACUAAGAUACCGAGGAUCAUAAAACAAGGUGUGAAAAACCAUGCAAAUAUACUCGGUACCCUUAAUUUUUUUACCCCUCAAUCGAUGUGUCGGUUAACCACACAUGCUCCACCGAUACUAUUAUAAACAUUAAGUUACCCUUUUCCUACCUUUUUAAAUACGAGUUAGUGUGCCGGUUAACCACACAUGCUCCACUAACCGAUUUAGACAAAGUGCAAAGUGUAAUUUCAUGGAUUAGCACCAAAUUCACAUUUCCCUAAGUAACUAAGAUUGGGUAUUACUAAGAGUUUAGUUACUUAGUNNNNNNNNNNNNNNNNNNNNNNNNNNNNNNNNNNNNNNNNNNNNNNNNNNNNNNNNNNNNNNNNNNNNNNNNNNNNNNNNNNNNNNNNNNNNNNNNNNNNNNNNNNNNNNNNNNNNNNNNNNNNNNNNNNNNNNNNNNNNNNNNNNNNNNNNNNNNNNNNNNNNNNNNNNNNNNNNNNNNNNNNNNNNNNNNNNNNNNNNNNNNNNNNNNNNNNNNNNNNNNNNNNNNNNNNNNNNNNNNNNNNNNNNNNNNNNNNNNNNNNNNNNNNNNNNNNNNNNNNNNNNNNNNNNNNNNNNNNNNNNNNNNNNNNNNNNNNNNNNNNNNNNNNNNNNNNNNNNNNNNNNNNNNNNNNNNNNNNNNNNNNNNNNNNNNNNNNNNNNNNNNNNNNNNNNNNNNNNNNNNNNNNNNNNNNNNNNNNNNNNNNNNNNNNNNNNNNNNNNNNNNNNNNNNNNNNNNNNNNNNNNNNNNNNNNNNNNNNNNNNNNNNNNNNNNNNNNNNNNNNNNNNNNNNNNNNNNNNNNNNNNNNNNNNNNNNNNNNNNNNNNNNNNNNNNNNNNNNNNNNNNNNNNNNNNNNNNNNNNNNNNNNNNNNNNNNNNNNNNNNNNNNNNNNNNNNNNNNNNNNNNNNNNNNNNNNNNNNNNNNNNNNNNNNNNNNNNNNNNNNNNNNNNNNNNNNNNNNNNNNNNNNNNNNNNNNNNNNNNNNNNNNNNNNNNNNNNNNNNNNNNNNNNNNNNNNNNNNNNNNNNNNNNNNNNNNNNNNNNNNNNNNNNNNNNNNNNNNNNNNNNNNNNNNNNNNNNNNNNNNNNNNNNNNNNNNNNNNNNNNNNNNNNNNNNNNNNNNNNNNNNNNNNNNNNNNNNNNNNNNNNNNNNNNNNNNNNNNNNNNNNNNNNNNNNNNNNNNNNNNNNNNNNNNNNNNNNNNNNNNNNNNNNNNNNNNNNNNNNNNNNNNNNNNNNNNNNNNNNNNNNNNNNNNNNNNNNNNNNNNNNNNNNNNNNNNNNNNNNNNNNNNNNNNNNNNNNNNNNNNNNNNNNNNNNNNNNNNNNNNNNNNNNNNNNNNNNNNNNNNNNNNNNNNNNNNNNNNNNNNNNNNNNNNNNNNNNNNNNNNNNNNNNNNNNNNNNNNNNNNNNNNNNNNNNNNNNNNNNNNNNNNNNNNNNNNNNNNNNNNNNNNNNNNNNNNNNNNNNNNNNNNNNNNNNNNNNNNNNNNNNNNNNNNNNNNNNNNNNNNNNNNNNNNNNNNNNNNNNNNNNNNNNNNNNNNNNNNNNNNNNNNNNNNNNNNNNNNNNNNNNNNNNNNNNNNNNNNNNNNNNNNNNNNNNNNNNNNNNNNNNNNNNNNNNNNNNNNNNNNNNNNNNNNNNNNNNNNNNNNNNNNNNNNNNNNNACCUCAGGGUUCGGAUGAGGGACUUCAAAAAUAUUUGAGAAGGCGUGGAAGAUAAACGCCUUUCGAGUCAACGGCAUGUCGAACUGCGAAUCGACAGAAUUAUAGCAGUCGAAUGAGAUAACCGGCUCGAGCCAUAGGAUGCUAGGAGUAUCUAUGGCCUCCUUAAUCAUUCGCUCCCGAGUCCAGGCAGGGAAGAGAGUCUUCCUGCUCACGAGGAGAUCGUGGGCUUCCUUCUGCUUGCGUUCGGCUUCUUCAGCCUCUCCCGCCACACGAUUAACAUCAUCAACAGCAUUGCGACUGUUCUUUCGUUUCAACAAGUCAGCAAUGGUUUCAUCAUCUUCAUCAUCAUCUUCUUCCUCAGCUAUGUUUUUCCCUUUAUCCUUCACACCCGAACCCGAAGCUUGACCAGUCGGAGGUGGUUCGGUUGUGUGAGUAGCUUUGGAGGAAGGAGGUGGUUUCGAUCCGGACUUCAACUCUUCUCCCCCUUGUUUCGGAGUGGACACGAAACUGGGUAAACCUUCGAUUUUGCUGAGAAGGUCCAUAGCAGGAGAAAGUUUUUCAGCAAGGGUACGCCUCACCGAAUGGUUUAGAAUCAGAUCGUGUGCUUCUAGGAUGUUGGAUAAGGCAACGUGUACAUCCGAAACACAUGACUUGAUGACCUCCCUUUUGGAUCAAAGAGCUUCAAGUUGUUGCUAUGAGUUUGAAAGUUGCGUGCUCUUGACCUUGAGGGCGGUGGUUUUGCUUGCCAGAACGUCCAUCAAUGAAUUUUCAGCUGCGAGAUCCUCCUGAAGCUUAGCGAGGCGCUCAUCGAUGGAGGCACGAAGGGCCGAGUUGUCGUCGCUUAUUGAUUGGCGAAGGUUGGCGAACGAGGUCAACUCCGUUGAGACGAACUUUGCCAAUUGCUGAACAAUCGGUUCCAAAGUUGUCUUGGUAGAAUCCGCACUCUCCUGUAAUGACUUCAACAGAGAAGAGGCGUCUGAGAAUAGUUUAUCGACUUUUGCGGUCGCAGCCUCACAGGCUUUGGUAGAGGCGUCUAUGGCGGCAGUGGCUGAGGCUACCGAAUCAUGCUGAGCCGUGGAGAAGGCAUCAACAAUCUUCUGAAGUGCAGCUUCAGAUAGAGAGGACUGUUGGUUGGAAGAUGAGGCAAGAAGUAGAUCAACCUUCUCGUUUAGCUCCUUCAGAUGUUUCUUUGUCACUGGAGCAUCAUCCUCUUCAUCACUUUGAACCUGAAACGGACUAAAGUAGAUCGAAUCAAAGGUCAUGUUUUCUCUGCCAAGAAACGGGUUAUCUCCAUCAGAGGCAUGAUCUGGAGAUGGUGGGGGUGGUGAAGUUGGGGGUGUGUUUGUAUGGGUAGGUUCAGGUGGUGGUGGAGUAUGGGUAGGUUCGGUUGUAUGUUUCGGAUGGGUAGGUUCAGGUGGUGGUGGAGUGUGGGGUGGAGUAGUUUCGGGUGGUGGUGGAGUAUGGGUAGGUUCGGUUGUAUGUUGGGUUUCGGUUUGAGGUGGUUCGGUUACGGGUGGUGUUUCGGUUGUAGUGGUAUGAACCCCCGUAUCAGAUACGUUGGUUGUAACCUUUGUAGUGGUUGUGGUGGUAUCUGUGAAAAUGGGUGGUGGUAUAGGGAAAAAGGUUGGAGGAAUAGUGGUAGUGGGGAUUAUGGUCGGAAUGGAAGUAGGGAUGGUUUGAGGAGGUGAAGGAACUGGUGAAUUAUGAAGUUCCAUCUCUGGGGUAGGUGAGCGGGGUGGUGUGUUGCCUCUUUGAGGGGUUUCGCCUCCUUGAGAGCCAUCCGAACCCGAACUCUCGUUUUCUGAGUCACUCGAAGAGGAAGGAAUAAGAAGUUUUCGCUUCGGUUGAGUCUUCCUUCUCUUCGGCUGCGGUGAUUGGGCAUGUUUCGUUUGUUUCCUCUUCCUGGGAGAAGGACCUUUAGCAGCUUUGGUCACUUGCUUCCCUUUGUCCGCCUUUUUGCCCCUGUUCACCGGUUUGGCAGCAUCAUGGAUGGACUUCAGCAUUUCCGGUGUAAGGUCCCUAGGUCCAGUUGCCCUGAACUCCUCGAUCGUUCGGAUUAGCCUGCUGUCAGAGGGAACGUCGCCAUACAUUGUGUCCAGAAUAGAGCCAAUGAACGAGAAUUUAGAUGCAUCAGAGACGAUGAUCUUCUUGGUAUGAAACGUACCGAUUGAAGACAUCGAUGCACCAGCAGCAGUGGGAAUAUCAAACCUGUCCAUUGCCCACUUUGUGAUUAGAGUCCAGAACCGGGCAUACGACACCUCAGAAUGUCGUGAUGAAGAAGAAAGGCUCUGGAUGAGCUGUUGCCAGAGAACCAACCCAAAAUCUAAGUUGACCCCGUUGUAAACUGCAUACAUGAUCGACAAGAACAGUCGACUAGCACCGUCAGAUCCUGAGCUCCGUUCGGACAAGCCCUUGAAGAGGACUGUGAACAUGCCGUUCCACUGCGGCUGUAAGCAGGAUUUCUUAAACUUUGCGACGGAGAUGAGCACCUCCGUGUACCCCAUAUUGUAAAACAUACUGUAAAGAUGCCCAACUGGAAUCGUCUCCGGAUUAAUUCUCGAUGGGUCAGCAGCCAACCCUAGCAGUGUGCAGAAACGUUGUCGAGAAAUGGAGGUCUUGUGAUCAGCAACCUCGAAGAACACCCGCUCGACUGCUUUGUCGUAAUAGGCAGUCGCAUAAACCUGCGAGAGAGUCGCCAUGGGCACAGACUCAAUCCUGGAGAGAGCCGGAGCGAUUUGGGAGUACUUCAGGCACUCGAUGAUCGGCGACAUGUAGGAGUCGUACGCCAGAGGGUUGAGAUCGAUCACCAGGCAUUGUUGUGGACGAAUAGGAAGGAUUUGUGAGGUAGCAUGGACGGAAGAUGAUUCUGCCAUUGUUGAAGGUAGGAAGAAGAAGAUGAACAGUGAAGCUUUUUCGAGUUUUGGCUCUCUUGUAAAUUUUGAAGCAGUAAAGAGGUAAAUCGUGGUGAAGACUGCCUUUUAUAGUGGGUGAAAGGAGAGAGAAAAAUCGUUUCAAAUCUUCUAUGGAAAUACGAAAAGGUUUCCUGAAUGACAGAUGUGUGAUAGUUGAGGCGAGCGAUGAUCACGUAGGAGAGAGAGUGUCAGAUUCCUAGGAUCACGCCGCCCAACAAGCGCCGUUUGAGGAAAAAACCGUUUCAAAUCCUCACGCGCCUUUAAGUUCCAGAGAGAAAUCCCUUGAAAUUCGCACACGCGUCCACAAUGUCAGCAAAAGAUUGGGCGUUUCAAAUUCACACGCGCCCUUUUUUUUUUUUUUUUUUUNNNNNNNNNNNNNNNNNNNNNNNNNNNNNNNNNNNNNNNNNNNNNNNNNNNNNNNNNNNNNNNNNNNNNNNNNNNNNNNNNNNNNNNNNNNNNNNNNNNNNNNNNNNNNNNNNNNNNNNNNNNNNNNNNNNNNNNNNNNNNNNNNNNNNNNNNNNNNNNNNNNNNNNNNNNNNNNNNNNGAAAAUCAAAGAUUUUCGUGCAAAGAGUGUAAAAAGAAAAGAAAUAAAGCAACUCUUUUUAGGAUUGACUGUGAUGUCAAUAAUGACACGAAACUGAUGAUCCCGGGCACGAAUCUCUUCCUUCAAGGUCAAGAGAGACCUUAAAGUGUUAAUGUGGAUUCCCGUUGAAUUACGAUCAAUCACUUUUUAAGAAAUGUUGAAAGGCUUCUUUUAAUUAGGCUACUUUAGGGUGGCUUUCGCUUUGAUGCAUCAAUUCUAAUCUAGAAAUAAGAAAGAAAGUGAUCAAAGUACUUGUGACACCGGUGUAGUCUGUUGAACAAGUAGGAGGGAAUUAAUAUUAAAUUGGCUUGGAAAAUAUAAAAUCUCAAUAAAAAAUUUUAAAAUUAAAAACUGGAUCCCAAGGGAAGAAAUGUUAUGGUGGUUAACAAUUUCAUAGGAAUCACACAAAAUAAAAUAUGAGAUUUCAUGAAGGUGCAUCCGUCAAUUCUUUGCUGAAAACUUGAGCAAAUUAAUUGUUCACCGUCAAUUCAGAUUUGGUGUUGGAUUUUGGGUUUCACUCAGCUCGUAGUGACACGAAACUAAGAUCAUAAACACAGAUGUUGUGUAACCAUAAACCUCAGUGGUAAUUUCUGAGAGUCUCAAGGGUUACGUUGAUGAAACGAAUGUAAUGGAGAAAUGUAAUGGAGAUGGUGUAAGAAAAUAAAGUACCUCUGCUGCGAAAUAAAGGACCAAGCAGAAAACUCUUAUCUCAUGUGAGAAGAGAGUGAGGUAGCUCACGAUUAGAAUAAAUGUGGUAGCCUUAUUGGGAAGACAAGGUUUGUUUAUACCAGGUCAUGAAGGCUAUUAUUCAAAAUCUUAUGAGGCUUGGGACACAUAUAGCAGCAUGCUUCUAGGGACACUUAACUAAUUCAUCAAUUAUAUCCCCAUAAACGAACGAACACACAACAAGAAAAAGAAAAAUAUUUUUGGAGUUUUUGAGAAUUAUUAAAGAAAAGAAAAAAAAUAAAAAAAUAAGUAAGAAAAAAAUAAGACUUAAAAAAACUUUGAAAAAAAUAUGAAAAACCGAACCCGAACGUUCGGUUGGUUUCGGUUGGGAAAAAAUUGAAAAACCGAACCCGAGCGUUCGGUUGGUUUCGGUUGCAGAAAAUUUUGAAAAACCGAACCCGAGCGUUCGGUUGGUUUCGGUUCAAGAAAAUUUUGAAAAACCGAACCCGAACCUUCGGUAGGUUUCGGUUUUGGAAAAUUUUGAGAAACCGAACCCGAACCUUCGGUAGGUUUCGGUUUUGGAAAAUUUUAGAAAACCAAGGAAUUUAGACAUGCAAUCAGAAAAUACUUUUAACAAUAAGAUAAACAACUUUGUACAAGAAAUAUACAACCAAGAAAACUACCUUUGUGGUGAUGAGCGAGUCAGAUUAUUUAACCGAACCUGAACGUUCGGUCAAUUUCGCUUCUUACGUUUGAGGUUGAGAGGUAGUGUGAGGUACUGACUCUGAUUCCAUCAUACCUAGCCCUUGCAAUAUUCUGUUGAAUGAUGCUUCAGGAAGAGCUUUGGUAAAGACGUCAGCCAGUUGAUCAGUGGUUCUUACGAAGUGAACUUCGACGUUUCCAUCUUCCACAUGAUCUUUGAUGAAGUGAUACCUCAGUGCUAUGUGUUUGGUUUUAGAGUGUUGCACUGGGUUAUGACAGAUCCUAAUUGCACUUUCAGAGUCACAAUAUAGUGGGAUCUUCUUCAUAUUGAGUCCAUAGUCUCGAAGUUGACUCUGGAUCCAAAUCACUUGAGAGGUGCAGGAUGCAGCGGCUAUGUAUUCCGCUUCGGCAGUAGACAACGACACGCACGUUUGUUUCUUGGAUUGCCAGCUAACCAACUUCCCGUCAAGGAAUUGACAGCCACCAGUGGUGCUUUUUCUGUCGAGUCCACAUCCUCCAAGGUCAGCAUCUGAAUAGGCUUGAACGAAGAAGCCUGAGUUGGAAGGAUACCAUAGACCUAAGGAGGUGGUUCGCUUGAGAUAGCGUAAAAUGUUCUUCACUGCAAGCAUGUGAGGUUCGCGUGGGUUUGCCUGAAAUCGAGCACAAUAACACACAGAAAACAUGAUGUCAGGCCUGCUAGCAGUAAGAUACAUUAGUGAGCCUAUCAUUUGACGAUAGAGCGUGAUAUCAACAGCCGGUUUGUCUAGGGAUGGAGUUAGCUUGGUGCCGAAUGCCAUUGGGACUUUGACUUUGGAGUCUCCCAUCAUACCAAACUUUGCUAGGAGAGUCUUCGUGUAAGCUUCCUGAUUGAUAAAGAUGCCUUCGGGUCCCUGUCUAAUAUUUAAACCAAGGAAAAAGUUAAUAGGACCCAUUGAGCUCAUUUCAAAUUUAGUCUCCAUCAGCUUUCUGAAUUCAGCUGUUAGGCUGGGAUUCGUAGAGCCAAAGAUGAUGUCAUCGACAUAAAUUUGAACUAUCAUAAGGUGGUUACCUUCCUUUUUGCGAAAGAAGGUUGGGUCAACCGAACCUUGUUUGAAUUUAGACAUCUUUAAGAAUUUAGUUAGCGUUUCAUACCAGGCUCUCGGAGCUUGUUUGAGGCCAUACACAGCUUUAUCCAGAAUGUAGCAAUGAUUUGGAUACUUUUCGUUCACGAACCCAGGAGGUUGCUCCACAUACACGGUUUCUUCGAGUUCUCCAUUAAGAAAUGCACACUUGACGUCCAUUUGGAAAACUUCAAAGUUUUUGUGGGCAGCAUAAGCAAGAAAUAUUCUUACAGAUUCCAGCCUAGCUACAGGAGCGAAAGUCUCUUCAUAAUCAAUCCCUUCCUCCUGACAAUAUCCCUUUACUACCAGACGAGCUUUGUUCCUUAUAACAUUCCCUUCCUUGUCCAUUUUAUUCCUAAAGACCCAUUUGAGACCAACAACCGAGGCAUCUGGAGGAGUUGGAAUGAGGCGCCAGACUUUGUUCCUUUCAAAUUCGUUCAGUUCGUCUUGCAUCGCUUGAACCCAAUCGGAGUGAUCGAGAGCAGUGUUAACUGUCUUCGGUUCAACUUUUGAUACGAAUGAGUUAAACAUACAAAACUCAACCUUUGAAAAUAAGGAUGUCUGUUUUGCCUUCAGUUGUGAUCGGGUCAGAACCUUUUCGGAGACAUCACCAACCACUUGAGAGAUAGGAUGAUCUCUGGUCCAUUUGGUAAGAGGAGGAUAGUUUGGAUCAAAGGUUGGGUCUAGUUCAGCAUUGAUCAUUUCUUCUGGCUCGGAUUGGCUUUCGUAGUCAAGUGACAUAUCACCAUGCUCCCCCUCGAUUGAUGAGCUAUGAGAAACUUGAGGUUCAGAGGUUUCUUGUGGUGCUGGACUUUCAGGCGUUGAUGCACCUUCGGUUGGAGAAGCACUUUCGGUUGGAGUUGGACUUUCGGUAGCAGUUGUAGAGCUUGGCUCCCCCUCAACAUGUGAGCUUGGCUCCCCCUCGACUGAAGCAUCGUUGGAUGGAGGUUCAUCAGAAUUCGAUCCUCCUUCAUUCAUUCUCCUGGCAGCUUCUUCGACAAUUUGCUUCAUGUGGUCUACCUUGUUGUCUGCUGCGCCUGCUUCUGAGAGAGUAGCUUUCUCUGGUUUGUCAAAGAGCUCCAUAAAUUUCUCGUAUAGAUUAGCGAUCGAGACUGUGACUUGGCCAGUUUGAGGAAAGAUUUCCCCAGCUGUGUCUUCUUUGGCCUGUAGCUUUUUGACAUAGCUAUCGUCAAAAGUCACGUAAUAGGUCUCUUCGAUUUUUCUCGAACGCUUGUUUAGGACUCUGUAUGCUUUGGAAGUGAGAGAGUAGCCCAGAAAGAUUCCCUCGUCGGCUUUGACAUCGAACUUGUUGCGGUGUUCUUUAGAGUUAAAGAUGAAACACCGUGAGCCGAACACGUGGAAAAAUUUCACAUUGGGCUUCCUGUUGUUGAGAAUCUCAUAAGGUGUGAGCGUGAAUCGCUUGUUGAGAUAGGACCUGUUCUGUGUAAAACAAGCAGCAGAAAUAGCAUCAGCCCAAAAAUAAAGAGGUAAGGAAGCGAAACUUAGCAUAGUUCGGGCAGCUUCACACAAAGAUCGGUUUCGUCUUUCGACAAUUCCGUUCUGUUGAGGUGUGUAGGGAGCUGAGAAGUUGUGACUUAUUCCCUUUUCUGCUAGAAAUUCUUCAAAUUCCCUGUUCUUGAAUUCCAGACCAUUGUCGCUUCUGAUGUUGCGAACGACCUUCUUGAGCUGUACUUCAAUCUGCUUGAUGAACACUUUCAGCUUAUGAGUCGCUUCAGAUUUGAGCUUUAGAAAGAACACCCAUGUAAAUCGUGAAAAGUCAUCAACAAUAACAAGAAUAUACUUGCUACCACCGAUGCUUUCGAUAGAUGAUGGACCACACAAAUCAAUAUGAAGUAAUUCGAGUGGUUCAACAACUUUUGUGUUAAUUAUAGAUGGAUGACUUUGACGACUCUGCUUCCCCAUUUCGCAUGCAGCACACAAAUGAUCUCUGUCGAACUUGAGCAAUGGAAGACCUCGAACAUGACCUCCAGUGACAAGUUUGUUGAUAUCUUUAAAGUUGAGAUGAGAGAGUCUUCGGUGCCACAACCAGCUUUCGUCAGAUUGAGCUUUUGAUAACAAGCAUAUAGCUGGGUUUCCUUUGAUAGGUUUAAGGUUUAGAGGAAACAUUUCACCCUUACGCUCCGAUUUGAGAAUUACUUUCUUCGUCUUCUUCUCAAUAAUUUCAGAACCUUCAUCGUCGAAUGAGACUUUGAGACCUGUACCUCCAACAAGCUGAGAUACACUGAUGAGGUUGUGUUGUAGUCCUUCCACAUAAGCCACCUUCCUUAUAGUAAAAUCACCAUUAGUUAUCAUUCCGUAUCCCUUUAUGGUGCCGAAAGAGUUGUUUCCAAACUUGACGUUGCCACCAUUUGAAAGAGACCUGUAUUCCCUGAGCUCUUCUUUCCUCCCUGUCAUGUGACGCGAGCAGCCACUAUCGAUGUACCAUUCUUCGUCGAACUGCUCGUCACUUAUAACCUGCAAAAAUUAAGCAGAUUUAGGAACCCAAAGUUUCUUGGGUCCACGUGAGCUUUUCAUAGGAACAGGAAUAGUAAGAGAGAUGUCAACAAGAUAUGUUCGUUUUAUAAGUGUUGUUUCAUCUUUCUUUUUGAUGGUAAAGACUUUUAUUUUAUUAGGAUUAGGUGCGUUCGGUUUAGACUCUGGAUUGGAUGCAUUAACCUUCUGUUUGCCUUUUUGUUCAGCUGACGAAUGAGAUUUUUGAGAACGAACAGAAUGAGCUUUAGAGCAAGAUGGAGAUGAAUUGGAAGAAUUAGAAGAAUUAGAUGAAUGAGAAGGAGUGGGCUUAGAUUGAGAUGACUUCUUGGCUGGAGACUCUAGGUGACCCUUUUGCUUUUGAUCAUUGGUGGGACUGACCUUAGAGUUUUGAUCUCUUUUGACUUCAGAAACGAACCUUUGCUUUCGGUUGGAGCAGUUCUCUGAACCGAACCUAUGCUUUCGGUUGGAGUCAUUCUCAGAACCGAGCCUUUGCUUUCGGUUGGUAUUCUCUUCUGAACCGAACCUUGGCUUUCGGUUGUUGUGGCUCUCAUGCUUUUUGACAGGAUUGUUCUCAAACUUCAGAUUCUUGUCUUGAUGUGAGAAAUAUGCAUUUUGGGAUUGCCAGAAUUGUUUCCUUUCAGAGAGAUUCUUCCUGUAUCUCUGGUUCCUUUCACGUUUCUUAUUCCUCAUCUGCUUCGGUUGAUGAUGAAUAUUGGCUUUCAUUUUCGGUUUCUCCUUGGCUGGUUCACUUUGAACUGUAGGAGUUUCACUUUGAACUGAGGAACUAGAGGGAAUGUCUUCUUUUGCCGAACUUCCAUUCUCUUGAGGAAUGUCUUUCGUACCACUAGUACUUGGCUCAUCGAAAUUAUCUGGCUUAUUCAAGGGUUCUGGUAUGUAUCUACCUUUACUCAUCCAUGAGGUUCUUUCUGAUAAGCCUACCGUUUCGUUUGCAUUAUCUAUUGGAGCUGACCAGAAGUACUCAUCGCAGCCAUCAGCAUUGUCUUCGUUUACAAUAGCUGUGAGUUCAGCGGUCUGAUGUUCGGUUACUCCAGUGACCUUGUACACUUGAUUUGGAGUGGUCCUGACCUUUUGAUAUACAACUGCUUUCUCUGCUAAGAUCGGGGACUUUUGUUGGGACAAUCGAGCGAACUCCACUGAAUUUUCAGAAAUUAGAUUCUUGUGGUUUUCAGGUUCGCUUUUUACAAAUUCUGAGCAGUCAACCGUGUCCUCUACAGAAAUUUCACUCAUGUUGUCGUCCUCGUUAAGCUCAGAUGCAUUUUCAACAUCAAUUUUGUUUUCUGAGCUUACGUUGGCGUUUAAAGAGUCAAAUUUUUGUAUGGUUUCGGUUCUCAGUUUAAGUCUAUCAUUUUCAUCCAAAAGGUUUUUAAGCAUGUCCUUGUGGUCCUUGGAUUUAAUGAAAGAUUCUAUUUUGUCCAGUCCAUACAUGUAGGUUGGAUUGACGUCAUCAGAUGAUAUCACACUCUCACAAUUAUAAGCUUCGGCAUCGAUUUCAUCCUCCUUAAACUCAAGGAAGGGCAAAAUCAUGCGAUGGAUCUUUUGGCCUAUUUCACAGUCCAAGUGAAGCUGAGUAAUAUUAGAAUAAAGACGUUUUGCAAUUAAACAAAAAACAUUCCGCUGUUUUAACAACUUUAAAUUGUCUCUUUGUAAAUAAAUGUUUUCGUCUUUUAUUUUAACUAAUUCAGACUCCUUCAACUCGAUCCACAUGCGCCGCUCCUCACUCUUCGAAGACACCCUGCUUAAUUGAUCAGUUAGGUUAGAAUUGGUGACUCGAGUUUGAGUUAAGCUACUAUCUAGAUGAGAAAUUCUUGUAUUAACAUUUUUUAGUUCUUUCUCAUAUGAGGAUUGUGGUACUUUAAAUGAAAUGAAAACCGAUUGUACCUUCUUUAUCAGUUCAUCAAGCUCAUUGAACUGCUGGCUGAGUGGUUUGGCCGUAAAGCACAUGUCCUCCUGCCCCUUCGGUUCAUUGCUUCCACCAUCAGUGUUGUAUCCCCUCAUCUGAGAUACAUCAGACACCAUGAAGCAUCUUCCUCCACUGCUCUCCUCCUUUGCCACAUAAGCCUUUCCAUGAGUAGGCUUCCUCACUUCAUCGUCUUCUGAGUCGGUAGACCAAACUUCCACGCUACCGAACUCGUCAUCAGCAACCGAACCCUGCACAAUAAGAGCAUUCAUGGAAGGGUUAGCGGUAGACUUCUUCUUUCUCAUCUCAUCCAGCCUUUUCUGCAGCACAGCUUCCUCAUCCUUUUCAUCAUCCUUUUCAGCCAUCUUUUUAAGGACACAAUCUUUAGCAUAGUGGUUUUUCCCACCACAGUAGUAACAGCUUACUCCAGAAUCACCAUCUGCCUUCGGUUCCUUCUUGGGCUCUUCAACCUUCGGUUCAUUGUUAACCUUUUCUGAACUAUAACUCCCCUGCCAGUUUCGGUUUUUGUUGCUGGGGAAUCUCUUCUUAAUGAACCUCUUGGGGUUAGACACCAUCAUAGCAUAAUCCUCAGACGUGAGGUCAUACUCCUCCAAGUUGAGGUCUUCAUCCUCCAUCACAGCUUUACUUUUUGACAGGAGGGCCAGCGAACCAAGGCUUGAAACAACGUUCUUCUCCUGCAGUACAAUCUUCUCCUGGGACUUGAGAAUACCCACCAGUUUCGCCAAAGAAUAUGAUUUAAACUGCUCAUGGGCUUUGACUGUAGACACCACUGCUCUCCAUUCUGACCUUAGACCAUUUAAGAACGUAACCUUCUGCUCGAUAAGCUUCCUUUCGAUGUCAUGUUUGAUCAUCCUGCUGAGAAGAUGAUUGAAGCGAUCGAACGUCUGGGUCACAGUUUCUUCGGCUCCUUGCCUGAAUUCUCCAAACUCAGAUAAGAGCAAGGUUUGGAUAGAAUGUUCAAGAUCCUCGUCUGUAGAGUACAGUUCGCGAAGUCUAUCCCAAACUUCCUUUGCCGUCGUGCAUGAGCUGACCAACCUGAAGGUGUCGGACUGAAGGGCAAAUCUUAUCAAUCUUAACGCCUUGAUAUUGCACUGGAAUUUAUCCUUUUCAUCUUGUGCAAUAUCUUUAACAUCCUUCAGCAGAUCAUUGUACUCCUUUUGAGUUUUGAUAAUCCUGGACGUUGCAGAAUGAGAAAAAGGUCCAUUAAUGAUAGCUUCCCAUAUGAGGUAUCCAUUAUCCUCAGAUCCUAUCACGUAGUCUUCGAAGUGAUGCGCCCAGACUUCAUAGUCAUGGGUAUAUAGGAUUGGAAUCUUCGUGGUUGAACCGAUGCUGUUGGAAAUAUUGAUGGGGUUUGAUUGCGACUCGUCCAUUAUGAUCGAAAAACCUGUUUAAAGAUCAGACUUGUAAUAAAUCAGAUUAGGGCAAAACAAUAAAUAUCAAGAUACGUCAAUAAUGAGAUGACGGCUCAAUAAAUAUCAGUGAUUGCGGAAAAACCCUAAUUGAAACCUUUUCACAGAAAAGAUGUGUAUCGAUUACACAGCCUCCUGCUCUGAUACCAAUUGAUGAGAUUAGAACUUAAUCUUGAAGAUCGAUUAGAUCUUAAACAGGUAAAUAAUUAUUUAAACAGUAAGAACGAAUGCAAAAUAAAGAACAACUCAAUGAUGAAUCAAACGUGUCGAAUGAUUAAAAACAAAAUCCUCAGAAGAGCUCGAUUAAGAACAUCAACUGUAGAGGAUAGGUAGGUUACAAGAACGAUAAAGAAAUCUGUAAAUACUAUCGUUAUGCUCUAGAUCAAUCGUUAAAUUAUUAACCUAAUAUGCAUGCAAGCAUAUACUUAUAUAAUAAACAUAAUGGGCUAUCGGUUGGACAGGCCCAAACCGGAAUACAAAUUAAAUAAACAAUUAGCCGAGCCCAAAGACGCAACCCUUGAACAAAUCUUCAACCCAACACUAAGGGCUAACUUGGAAUUAAAGUAUUCAUAAGUGAAAUCAUUUCAAAUUCCAAAACUUGAGAGCAAGUGUUGAAGCUAUUCAAAACUAAUUAAUUUCAUAACUUAUGAGUUUAAAGUAGUAUUAAUUACAAACUCUUCAAGUUCCAUAACUUAUGAGUUUAAACUAUUAAAGAAUGUUACUCUUCCUUAUUCAUAACUUAUGGAUUUAAUUAAGGUUACGUAUUUUUUAUUAUUUAAUGAAGAGUCUCUUGAACAUCCAUAACUUGAGGACAAGUUAUGGAGUCAUACAACCAUUUAAUGAGGACAAGAUUCUUCAUUUUGUAACCUAUGACAACGUUUAUGAGUUUUAAGAAACUUAAAUGUGACUUUUCAUGUAACUUGUGGACAAGUUACAAAAACACAUUUUAGAAUCAACUCUUAGAUUAAAAUGGAUUGAAAACAUAUUAUCACAUAAUUUUCUUUUAAUCUAAAUCAACUCAAAAGAUCAAGAUAAUUCAUAAAAAAAAACUUUUGGAUUCCAUAACUUAUGGAGUUUAAUGUUUGUUUAAUGAUGAAACUUUUCAUGUUCCAUAACUUAAGAACAAGUUAUGGAAUUCUUUAAAACAUUAACACCAAUUUUUGUAACUCCAUAAAAAAAAACUCCGAAUCAAAUUUUUUUAAACCUUUCCAUAUCCAUAACUUAUGGAGGUUUCAAAAAAACUCUUUGGAUCAAACUUUUAAAACUAAUAAAAUAAUCAUACCAUUUUAUCUUUUACUAAAUUUGACCUAAUUUAACUUAUAUAGGAAAUGAUUCAAAUUUUACAAAUAAUUAGUUUUUCACAGAAACAAGUAAUUAUCUUAAAAUUUGACAAACGACAUGUUUUUUUUUCCAACUUUGAAAAUAAAACAUUUCAUCAAUAGAACAGAAAACAACCCAUGGCUCUGAUACCACUGUUGGAUUAUGAGCAUUCUAACACUCCUAUGGUGUACAUGCAACCCUAAAUACCUUGGAUCUAUGCUUUCUCUAUUAUACAUGCAAAUAUGAAUAUUCCAAGGUAUUACCCUAUCUAGCAUACAAUCUUUGAUACUUUGGUAAUAAAAUAGAUAGAAUACAUACCUUGUUGAUGUAGCUUGUCUUUAUGAAGCUUGAGUUCCUAGUGCCCUAAGUGUGACACAUCAAAUGGUUCACACAACACCAUGAACACUUGGAAUAACCUUGAGAAUAAGGAUACUUUUGGUUCUCACUAGUGAAAUUGUCCUUUCCCUUUUGUGUACACACACUAGUGCCAAUUUCACCAACCAAGGACUUCUUUAUAUAGUGUGGAGAUUAGGGUUAAACCCUAAUACCCAUGACCUUUUAUUUCAUAUGAUCCAUGGGUUAAACACUCCAUGGACUAUCCAUGAAAGCUUUUCCCAACCUAAAUGAACUUGGCCCAUCACACAUAUAUAUCUAAGAGUCCAUAUUUAAUUAGUCCCUUUUUGAUCACUUAAUCAAUUAUAAAUUAAUUCUUGAUCGAUACUAAUUAAAUAAUAUGAUUAUAUAUUAAUAUAUUAGAACUUAUAAUAUAUUAAUAUAAAUCAUUAGUAUCUUUUUUCCUCAUCUUGUCAAUCCAAAUGUCCCGAUGUCAUGCAACCCAAAUGGAUCAUGUCGGGUCGGGUCAAGUCUUACCAAUUAUAGUUAUGGACUUAAACAUUAAUCCAACAAUUACAUGCCCUCCAUGAAAGAUUUAGCUCAUCAACCCUCAUUUGGAACACCAAAAGCUAGGGCAUCUAGUCUUUAAGGACCUCACAAGUUUUAGAUCUAAGGUUUCCCUCCUCAGAUCAUGUCUCUAUUAGCUCAUAGUCACAAAAGAAGGGGAGUAAAACCCUAAAACUCCCAAGAUCAUGAAAUCUAACCAAAAUAGAUGAAAAGGAUGCAAGUUAAUACCUUCUACAACAGUUCCAUGCGAACAAAUGCUAGAUCUACAACCCUCAUCUUGUUUCUUGCUUGAAUCAUGUUCUUUUCCUUCCAUAAGACCCGCCAAAUUACUUGGUUUCAUCAUAAGAACUCUCUCAUGGCUCCAAUGGCGAUUUAGGGUUUUAUCUGCCCAGAACUUACUCGGUGAGUCUGUCCUUGGACUCGUCGAGUCUGCUCAUUAAAUCCUCGUGAUCAACUCGAUGCGACUCGGCGAGUCAGACCUCCGACUCGUCGAGUACCUCCUAAAUACUCAAAAAAAUUGAAAUACAACUAUCAUACCCGAAAUUUCGGAUGUUACAAUUCUCCCCCACUUAAUUUGAUUUCGCCCUCGAAAUCUCUCUUUAGCAUCACACAAAUCAAAACCUAACAGCCCGCGAAGCACCACUCAAGAGGAUUUCAUACCACACGCUAUCUUCCAAUGAUACCUGAUCCCAACUCCCAAACUCAGAAAAGGACAGACCCAAAUGCCACUACGAUACCACUACUGGCUCCCUAGGAUCCGAAAACUCUAGUGUUAUGUCAUGCUACCAGACCGCUCCCUACAAGAUUUUACCAUGUUAUUCGCUCCUUGAAUAACAGAUCAAAAAAAACCUACUGCCCCACUAAUUCUCUCGUUGCGACUGAUAAAACAAGUCGAAGCCCCAAAAUAGACUUCCGCUCACUUAAACCAAAUAUAUUAGACAAUCCAGAUCCUUUUCCAAAAUGAAAGGGUCACAUCAAACCAGGGAUCCAUCCGAUGAACUGCAACAAAAUCCAACUGAGCAACGAAUUCUCAAUACCCCAACCUUGGGUACAAGAAGAAAAUGAUGUUGCUCCAUAAAAUCUUCUGACUUCUACAACUAUGUACCUCAGCUCCCUCCCCGAUAUCCCUUUCAACAGUGAGCACUUGAUCAACUCUUGAUCCCACAACUGAACCUCUAAAGGUUACCCAUAACAUACCCAACAAUGUCUCAUUGACUACCUUCUCUCCACAACCAUCUCGGCCCAUUGUAACACAAAAGUCAUGAAGUUUGCCUUACCGCAAGCGAAAACUACCACUUCGCCUAAAUUUGAUACACUCGACCUCUAACGUCUACUACUCACUAGCUCCAUGCGUCCUGAGAUCUUUCCCAUUCCAACGAAGUGACCCAAUCAGGUCUAAAACAUCCAAAAAUGCACAGUGCCUCUCAUGAAGCAACUCACCACUAAAUCCGAAAUCUCAUUUCGCCUUCUCGAUACGCCACUAGGGCCAACUCGAACUCGAGAGUCUGACUCAAAAGCAAAAAUUUGGAACCACUCAUCGCAAUGACGUACACAACUCAUAACCCAUGACUCGCAACUUAUGCGUACAACCCUUCUCCAUUUCAUUCUAAUUAAGAUAACCAUACUUUAACUCAGAAUAUGAUAACUCCCGACCAUUCGGGAGACCCCAGUCUCGCCCACGGCCUAACCACCAGGUUCCUACAGACUCAAAUAUAAGGCUACCUAAGCCUAGGAACUCCUCUGCGUCAUGCUCUGACUAGCGAAGACUACGACUUCUCAUGGUUCCACAACAGUCUCUCUUACUGCCUGGCGAAUACUACAGCUUCUCGAAGUAUCGCCACACCAUCUCGCUGACUGGUGGACACUACGGCUCCUCGCAAUACCACAACACCCUCUCGCUGACUGGUGGAAACUGCGGCUCCCCGCAGUACCACCACACCUCCUCACUGAUUGGUGAAUGCUACGACUUCCUGUAGUAUCACCACACCCUCUCACACUAACCAAUGGAUGAUGCACCUCCCCGCAGUCUUACAACACUUUCUCUUACCACCCCACGAUCUCAUAUCCAAUCGAUGCUAUAAUGCAUUCACUAACUCUUGUUCCGUGGCCCAACAUAGAUAGGUGCACUCACACCCCUCCAAAAAUAUACACCAUUACUCCUGUCUGCAGCUGCCAUGUCAAAGCCCCUAUUUUCACUACUAAUCACAUUCUUGCAUAAUCUCGCUUGAUAUCAUUUGGCUGAAGGGCUCCCACUGGAACCAUAGAUACCUGCUACACCACAUGCCAUCUCAUAACUCAAACUUGAAAUAAUUCGAACCUUAGGACAUCACACUCGGAUAUCUUAGAGUACCAUUACAAAACUUCACGAUGCCUUGCCUCUAUCACUGACCUCAUACUCACCGCAUCAUGCUCAGAUACCGCAUUGCUUCAUCAUAAUCUCGCAACCGAUCUUCCUCUUGCACCACUCUCUAUUGAUCACUACCCAUACAAAACUACUCAGGCCACUCCUAAAACUGGUUGACAAACCAUUUGCUACCCUUCUUGUGGUAUGGAUCACAAUUUAUACCUACACUUGCAAAUCUCUGCCAUUGCACCCUGAAUCCAGCGAUCCCACCUCACUCGAAUUUGACAUACGCAAAUUCUAAAAAUCCUAGGCCAUAAUGAAUUCUCCAAUCAAUGAUCACACGUUAGGGAUCCACUCAUCCUUUCCUAAACGCAUACUCAUAUCUUUUCGUGCCUGGCACCUUGCCUCAUCCUUUUCUAACUCGGGUCUCAUAUGCUUGUACCACAGUUUUCCAUAACCAUUUCUUUGACCGCACUUGAACGGAUCAUCGAUCCCUUACUGAAAUGUCUGUUCUCCCCCACUUAGGGUUUGAACCAUCACCAUUCGGCACGACCACAACCUACUCAGAAGAAUGUCCCACCAAGUAUGUCACACUUGACUCUUGGAUGUAUAACGCAAUCCUCCCCGGGACUUCCCCAAGGAAACCAAACCAUUUCCAUAAGUCCCGUCCCUGACAGCAACUCAGAAUCCUCCCCACAUAACUGCCUCUAAACAUUUUAAGGCCUCAGACUGAUACACUGUCGGAACCCCACUGUUCCGAAUCCCAUCUGGAAUAGUGCCCUCUCGCACACUUAACUCUAAAUCUUCGCCCCGCAUACCCAAAUAGGAAAUAAUCCUAAAAGCAUAGACUUCAUCCUCAUUGUCGAUACACAAUGCGGACCACGAGGGCCACCGCCCCGGUAUACUCAUCUCAUCCACCGGAAACUGACAAUAACAAUAUAGCACUCUCAACAAAGCACCUCUUCGUAACCAUCCGUCUUAGUCUCACUAAUGACUCUUUCUUGGUAUAAGAAUACCUCGCAACCAAGAUACUGCCCAAAUGUUCUGGUGAAAAGGUCAGCAUGCUUGCUACCCACAGGGUUUACCUUCAACUGCAUCUCGUAGAAAACUGAAAUACCACCACCCAAGUCACAAAAAGUGACAUCUCCACUAUCGGCCGGUCGCUCAGCCCAUACCGUCUUCUUCCAUAAUGCAUCAUCCCUACUCAUCCCUGAGUCUUGCAACUCCAAAUGGCAUCUCACAACAAUCCCUUGGGGCUAAAUCGAUUUCCCUCUCAAGGGAUGCUCCAAUAAACUCGUUCAUCAUGGCCUUCUGGCCCCAUACUCUUUUACAUCUGAUCUUAGUCAAGACAAUCACAACAGAAUAACAGGUAAAACCAGAAGCACUAACCGCCACAUGUCAUGGUACUCAAACCGUGUGCCACCUCUCGAUCUACUACUUAUCAUGGUACUCGAACCAUGACAUCACAUCUCAAUCUGCUACUUAUCAUGGUACUCGAACCAUGACAUCACCUCUCAAUCUACUACUUUUCAUGGUACUCGAACCAUGACAUCACCUCUCAAUCUGCUACUUAUCAUGGUACUCGAACCAUGACAUCACCUCUCAAUCUGCUACUUAUCAUGGUACUCGAACCAUGACAUCACCUUUCAAUCUGCUAGUUAUCAUGGUACUCGAACCAUGACAUCACCCCAAGUCCUCCUCCUAGGAUUCCAGAUCACAAGUACUCUACAUCUUAUCACACACAGGCCAUUUUCCAGUAGACCUCUCACAAGCUCCUCUCUGCUACUUACUCACUCUCGAAGUAACUCACAGCAUCAGUAACUCCUAGGCUAAGGCAUCAGAAAUCAGGCCACUCUAGUCCUAGAUAUGAAUACCUAGCCUACUCUCUAGCAUGCAUAACAUAUCACAUAAUAUUCACAUAACAUAAAACAUAAAGGUAUUUUGGGAAAUCACCGUUUGGGCGCUCACUUAUUGUACAUACUGCUCCUUUCCGCUUUCUUGAAAAUCUUUUACCUAUCUUAGAAAAUCGUUUAUUUUUGAAAACUUUUCUCAAAUACUCAGUUUGAGUUGAGAUAUGCCCGAAGGUGUAUUGGAAUCCCUCAAACCAAGGCUUUGAUACCAACUUGUAACACUGUAAAUUUUCAAACAUUUUUUUUCAAGUUUAAAUUACCAACGUCACAUAUAACGUAUUUCGAAAUAGUUUUCAAAUGUUAUUAUCAAAAUUUAGGAUCCUCAUUCAUGACUCUUUUCUCUUAUGUGUACAAUCGAGUCGUCACCUUCCCGCGAUCCUGAUAAGAACUUGAAACACAUAACACAUAACACGGUAAGCACGCAUGCUUAGUGAGUUCCCCCAAAAUACCACAUACAACACAUAUGCCACUCAAGGAUAAUACUCUAUAAGACCUUCCGGUCAAUGUGUCUCAGGGGACUUCCGUCCCAUUAUCCUGGUAGACCUUUUGGUCCCACUUCUCUGACGUUCCGGUCCGUAUCAUCUUGACCUUCUGGCCCAUACAUUGUUGACCUUCUGGUCCAUAUCAUAAUACUCAUAACAUAACAUAGCGCAUACAUAUCCUAUAACAGCAUACAUCACAUACUCAUCAUAGGAAAUAAGACCUUUCGGUCACACAUAAUUACCACUCUAGGUAAAGUAUAGUGAGAAGACUCACCUUGAAAGCAACCAAGUGACAGCCUCGCACUAGGAAAUGUCGACCUAGCUUCCGCCUAACACAUAGGUUAAACAUCUCUUAACAAUACUUACUCAUACUCAAACACACCCAAGGAUAUUCUCUUUCUCUGUCUGACUCUUGAAGUGGGUAAAAGUCCAUUUUACCCCUCCAUGGCUUCCAUCACACAUGGUUGACCCAACCCUAAAGUCAACCGUAGUAAAACUCGAGUCCACAGUCCAGAUCUGACCCGAAUCGACGAGUGCACCCUUGUGACUCGUCGAGCCAACUCACUUUCUCCAAAGUUUCGCAGGGAUCCAGAUCAACUUGUCGAGUUGACCCCAUAACUCACCGAGUUAGUACGUGAUUCAGCUUGACCAGGAAAACCCUAACCGACUCGUCGAGUCGGCUCAUGGACUCGACGAGUCUAUCCAGCCCUUUUCUCAUUCAGACGAUUUCACUCAGAUCUAUUACUCUAAACCAUAGAUCUAUCAUCUCAAGGCUCAAUAAUCACGUAAAGCUUCAAUCUUUACAUUCAUGCAUGAUGCUAUUGCUUCAAAAUGCCAUUGCAUGACCUCCAUGAAGGAUUUAGCUCAUCAACCCUCAUUUCGACCACUAAAGCUAGGGCAUCUAUUCUUCAAGGACCUCACACAGUUCAGAUAUGAGGUUUCCCUCCUCAGAUCAUGUCUCAAUUAGCUCAUACACACAAAAGAAGGGGAGUAAAACCCUAAAACUCCCAAGAUCAUGAAAUCUAACCAAAAUAGAUGAAAAGGAUGCAAGUUAAUACCUUCUACAACACUUCAAUGCGAAGAAAUGCUAGAUCCACAACCCCCAUCUUGUUUCUUGCUUGAAUCAUGCUCUUUUCCUUCCAUAAGACCCACCAAUUUAUUGGAUUUCAUCAUAAGAACUCUCAUGUGGCUCGAAUGGCGAUUUAGGGAUUGUCACAGGAGGUAUGAGGCGCACCUAAGGUCAUAAGUUCCCUUAAAUCGGCCCCAACCCCGGACACUUAGGAUUUUCUCUGCCCAUAACCUACUCAGCGAGUCUGUCUUUGGACUCGUCGAGUCUGCUCAUUAGAUCCUCGUGAUCACCUCGAUGAGACUCGGCGACUCAGACCUUCGGCUCGUCGAGUCCUUCCUAAACCCUCAAAAAAAUUAAAACACGACUAUCAUACCCAAAAAUUUUGGAUGUUACAUUCUAAUCCUCAGCAAAUGAUUUCAAUGUAAAUCGCAAAUAGUGUGGAUGGCCCUACACGUGCCCCACUGCUAGUUAUGGAAGAAUACGAUCACUGGAAAGAUAGAAUGGAAAGAUUUUUACUUGCCAAAGAUAAAGGUGAAAAAUAUGGAGAUCCAUCACAAAAGGUCCACAUGUUCCUGUAAUAACUGUUGUAAGAGAUGCAGCUGCUCAGCUCAUGCAUAAAGAUGAAACUCGCCCAGCUCCUCUAACUGCUGAUGACAUCAAAAAGCUACAUGCUGAUCAAGUUGCCUUCUAAGAAAUGGUGUUUGGUGUUCCUCCUUCACUUUUUUAGCAUAUCAAGCUAUGCAAAUCAGCUAAAGAGAUAUGGGACACUCUUCAGGACCUGAUUAAAGGAUCUGAAAAUAUGAAAGACAAGCGCCUCACCUCUGUUGUCAAUGACUUUGACACUUUUACCACCACUCCGGGUGAGUCAGUGGCCUCUGCUUCCAACUAUUAUCGCAUUGUGGUAAACAACAUGACUGCUCAUGGGAUUGUCCGAACUCCAUUGGAGUACAAUCUCAAGUUCAUAAACAGUCUGGGCAAACGAUGGGGAAAUGUAAACUCUUGUCUCCAAAGUAAUGGCUCCUUAAAAAAACUGAAGCUUUAUCAACUCUUUGAUGAACUUCAAGGCCAUGAUUCCAACGUUGCUCAAACCAUAAGGGAACUAUCCGGAGGUCCUCUUGCUCUUUUCGGUUCUUUCGAAUCAACCAUUCUGAACUCAUCCACUUUGGAACCCUUCAAACCCAUUGUUCCAUCCGUUCAAACAUCCAAACCUUCCUUAUCGACACAAUCCUAUGCUGCUGAUAAUUCUGAAGCUAUGGACUCUGAACUCCGUUUCCAAAAGGAGUUCGCACUACUUUCAAUGAAGUACAAACGUCCCUUCAAUCCUUCCUACAAACCAUACCAAAACCUAUUCCAUGCUCCUUAUGAGAACAAUCCUCAACCAUUUUCAAUUCUGGAACCUAAAUCAUCCGAGAAUCCUCCUACAUACAAACCAAACCUCCCUAAAACAAGCUCUACUUCGGAUCCCUCUCAGAGUUCAAAAUCAGACAAACCAAAAAUUGUGUGUCAUAAGUGUGGAAAUGCAAACCAUUUUGCUAAAGAUUGUCUUGCUGUUGCUCCAAUAAAACAAAAGGUCAAGGACUCUGCCUACUAUGUCCGAAGAGCACAAGAAAUGGUUGAAAGUGAAAAAGCCUUUGUCACAACUGUUUCAAGAGAUGUUGAAGGAUAUUGGUCCGCCGGGGAUGAAGAUGAUAUGUCAACUAGAAGGAAUAUGUGUCUGAUGGCAAGACAAACGGUUGAAUGUGAUGAAGGGUACUGGUUCUUCUGGGCCAGAAGAUGAAGAUAGUGAUGUUGAACCUCACUAUUGUUACAUGGAAACCAAUGAUCCACCAGGUCGAAGCAUUGUUCAACAGGUAAAAUCUAUGAUCUCUGAUAAUAAUUUUGACUUGUCUCUCUAUAAACCUUAUCUGACCCAAAUUCAAAUAGAUAUGAACACCAUCUAUAAACCUAUGAAUCUGCAAUAGACGCGAGUCAGAAGAACGAGUGUGAGUUAAAUCAUCUUAGGUUACGUUUCUAGGAAAAAAAUUUAAAAAUCAAGUCUUUAGAGCAUGAAAUUGUAAUGUUAAGUGAUGAAUGUAUCAUUUUGAAAGAUAAAUGUGAAAUCACCUAGUCCAAACGUAAUGUUUUGAUUUCUGAUAAUAAGCAUCUUAAUGCCAAAAUAGAUGCUUUGCAUAAUUCUGUUGAUAUGCUUGAAGCGGACAUUCAGAUGACUCACAAUUUUCGUCAUCCCGGGUCUAAAGCACCUGGUCUCGGAAGCGAGUUUCCGAAACCAAUUGCUAGUCCCCUGAAGGAAUUCCAAAACUUGACAUUUAUGGGAGAAGUUUCGAACAUCAAACAUUCUGACACCCCUAUUUCUCCCUUGUCACCCCUUUCGGAGACUACUGACCAUUUUGAGUCCCUAAUUCCUGAUUUCAAACCAAUUGUUGUCAAAUGUCCUAAUUCCACCCAAAUUCCGCCUCAGACAAACCUGGACCUGAAUCGGACCAUGGAAUUCCAUUACAGUUUCCCAAAUUGUGUAGACUAUGUUCCUAGAAGCAAUCACACUAACAAUUGUGUUGUUGAAGAAAUUCCUACCUUGAGAACUAAAACUGAUACCUCUGAGUUUGUGUGGGCAUCCUUAGAUGACAAGGUUGGAAAAUCAAGCAGUGUCUCCUCUGAUUCUUGUGAAUUGGAUACCUUAGUUAUUUCAAAAACUAAGUUGGUUCCUAUUUCUCCUAAGUUUGAUAAUCCGGCCGUAGGACAGACCUCAAAGUUUCUUGAGGAUUCAGAUCAACUCGUUGAGUUGACUCCACAACUCACCGAGUUAGUACGCGAUUCAGCUUGACCAUGAAAACCCUAUCUAACUCAUCGAGUUGGCUCAUGGACUCAGUGAGUCUAUCCAUCCGUUUUCUCAUACAGACAAUUUCACUUAAAUCUAUUAGUCUAAACCAUACAUCUAUCAUCUCAAGGCUCAAUAAUCACGUAAAGCUUCAAUCUUUAUGUUCAUGCAUGAUGCUAUGGCUUCAAAAUGCCAUUACAUGCCGUCCAUUAAAGAUUUAGCUCAUCAACCCUCAUUUGGGCCACUAAAGUUGGGGCAUCUAGUCUUCAAGGACCUCACAAGGUUCAGAUCAAAGGUUUCCCUCCUCAGAUCAUGUCUCAAUUAGCUCAUAGGCACAAAAGUAGUGGAGUAAAACCCAAAAACUGAUGGGUUUUAGCAAUAAGAACAUCCUAUGUGCUCAUACAAACCCUAAUGCUUGGAUCUAGGUUUCUCUAUUGUACAUGCAAGUUAUCCAAUACUAUAAACCCUAGAUAUAGCAUAUGAUAAUCAAUAUAACAUAUAAAGAAGGGUUUAGAUCAUACCUUGAUUGUGAUAUAGCAAUAACAAUCACAAUUCCUUCUUGUAAUGACUUUAGAAAGCUUAGAGUCACAAAUGUCACUCCUCUAAUGGUUCACAAACACCAAGAGCAAGAGGAUGAAGAGGAGAAGAGAAGGAGGCUGCCCAAAACGUGUGGAAACCCUAGAAGAAGUCUUGUUUACAUUUUUGGGGCAUAAGGGAUCCUUAAAUAGUGAGGCUACUAGGGUUAUCUAACAAGGAAACCCUAAUUUGGAUGCUUAAGCCCUAAGCAACCCAUGGGCUCCUCCCUUAAAGACCUUGGACGAUUUCUAAUGGGUUUCCCCACAGAAUUCGUCCACUCCUUUUAUAUGGAGUCCAUUAGCUCAAUAUUCAACUAUCAUACAAUUGACAGUUCAAGUCCCUUAAGUUUAAUUAAUGUCUUUUACUCACAAACUUAAUUCUUAUUAAUUAUUGACUAAUAUUAAUUAAAACAUAUGAUUUCUCCUUUAAUAUAUUAUUCCCAUAACAUAUUGAUAAAUCAUAUUUAAUCCUUUAUCUCCAUAAUUCAUCCUAUCAAGUUGCUUUGGUGAAGGCAACCCAAAAGGACCAUGCACCAUUAGGUCAAGUACAUACCAAAAUAGUUAUGGACUUAGACACUAAUCCAACAGUCUCCCACUUGGAUAAGUCUAAUAACUAUCCCGCGUAUUACUUCAGAUCCUGAUCUUCAAUCGUAGCUUUCUAAAGCCGCUGUCAACUCUAAUCUUAUCAGAUACGCGUGUCCUUUAGAUAAGGGAUCAUAUAUUCCUCCAUUCUAGAUAUCGUAUAGACUGAGACAUGGAUCUAAAUCAUUCUCUCUGUCUAUGUGCUGUUUCCCGAAUUCAGAUUUAUGACGACUGACAACGUACUACAAUUUGAACACAUCAAAUUAGUCCUGGCUUGGCCAAGCGCUUAGGUGCCAUCACUAAAUCAUCGAGGGGCCCACAAAAUAUCGCUUUUAUCCUACUUUGAAUAAAAGGAACGGAUAAACUUUGACUCAAUACUCGCUUGCACUCACUCACCGAACACACAACAAUAUGUUUUAUAACACCGAGUUAGUAGUGCGUUUACAUAUUAUCAAUGUGUAACCGAUUCGCAAGAUACAACUCACACAUCUCGGUUUCAAGAAUAUAAGAUGUUAUCGUCUCACCAAUCACUCGUGAUACAAUCCAUGAAGUGAUCCAAGUGAGCGUGGGUUUAAUCCAAUGCUCAAAUCAUAUUCAUAAGCACUCAUGAACGUUGCUACAAACAUUUGCUUAUGUAUAACGCUCUUUAGACAAUCCACACACCAAUUCACGACAGUCUUUAUUCAUAUCUACUUCCAACAUAUGACCGACUGUGGCCAGUUUGAAUAAUUUGACUGUUCUCAACCAAUUAAAUUAUUCAGGAAGUCAAAACAUGCAAAGUGAAAUACAAGAAUAAUACUAAUCCCAUAUGGCCUCAAACCUUUGAGUAUAAAUAAAACACCUUUUAUUUAUCACCAUAUCAAUUACUCAUUAUUUGUUGUUUUGGGUAAUCAACUUCUUACUUGAAUUAUUACUACACUUGUCCCGUGCUCUUAGCAUUCACACAAUGUUUUUCCUACAGUUCUUACUUUGUGAAAUAGAUCAAAUGAACACAAUUCCAAUCAUACUCAUUUCACAACUCCUAAUCCUUUUCACAAGUGAAAGAAUAUCAAAUUCUUGCCACUUAUGGAAUAUGUUAGAUUCUAACAUUUUAUGCAAUGCUCCUUUCGUAAUAUCAAUGUACUAAAGUCACAAUGACUAUUGCCAAUGAAAUUACAAAGUCCUCUAUCGGAGAUUGUUACAAGACAAUUCCAUAGAUGUGAUGUCUCUCACUCAAAGUACAUUCCUUUGAACAUCCUUUUGCAUAAAAUUUCUAAUCUAGACAUUGAUUCUCAAUAUCCAACCCCCAAUAUGGAAACCUUUCCAUACUCAUCAUAUGAUAACUCAUUCUCAAUAAAAUCUUAUCUAUUCAUAAUAAUGUCGAUAUAGUCCAUUCAAUACUAUACUUCCAACUACUCACAAGCGACCAAUCCUUGGCGAACUUUGGAUUGUCCUUUGAUAGUUGUUUAAUUAUUUUAGUCAAAACCGAUUCUUGUCCUUUUUCCCUCUAAAUGCGCUAGAAAUUUGGAAAAUGGUAGAAUGCUCAAAUAUUAUAGCAUUUGCCAUCGAUCCUAUACCCGAAGCGUAUAGGACACGAUGCAUAAUGUCUUACAUAAAGAUUUGAUACUUUAUCAAUCUUUUGCCAUAAUAUUUUAUGUGCUACGUUCUCAUAAUUCGAAGUAUGAAGAGGAAUGCCAUAAUCAUAAUCAAAAUUUCUGAAUACGUGUCUAAGCUAGUGGGAGCAUAAGUUUUAUGUUCGUAAUAAUCAUCGUGAUAAUGGGAGCAUAAAUGUUAUGAUUGCAUGAUUAUUAAGGCAAGUAUUGCAAGUUAGCAAUAUUAAUUAUAGAAAAACAAGAGUCAUACUUUGCAAAGUUGUAAGAGUUGAAUAGUUGUUUUGCGAUAAUUAAGGGAGAGAGUAUUAUUAACAUUCCACAACCUAAGCCUUUAGAUUUGAAAUGAAGCAUAAUAUUCUCUCCCUUAAUUAUAGAAAAAUAACUAUUCAACUCUUUCAACUUUGCAAAAUAUGACUCUUGUUUUUCUAUAAUUAAUAUUGCUAACUUGCAAUACUUGCCUUAAUAAUCAUGCAAUCAUAACAUUUAUACUCCCACUAUCACGAUGAUUAUUAUAAACAUAAAACUUAUGCUCCCACUAACUUUGACACGUAUUCAGAAACAACUAAACUUUCAGAAAAAAAAUGCCUAUUGAAUUUCUUUAAGUUCAUAUUUCUAAUACCAAUGCUUUGAUAAUCUUUUAUCAAGGGUUCUUAAACUUAUACACCUUUGCCUUAGAUAGUUUAUAUGUGUGUUUUAAACAAUUUAGACUAAUUGCCAAAUCACAUAAUUUAAAUUACGGAAAGGGAUACCAUAACCAUAAUCGAAUUCGAGAAUGCAAUUUUCACAAUCACUAUCUUUUUAAAAUCUUCCUUAGUGAAAUCAUUUUCUCACAGUCAUUUUCAUGAAGGAGGGAAUCUUAUGACACUUAGAUUUUAAUGAUGUAUGUGUUCCUAUCCAUGUGAAUUUGUCAAAACCAAAGUAUACGACAAAUUCAAACUCAUAUGGACCGAACUUUCACAAUUUUGAUUUCUUGCCUUAUGGUAACACGGCUGCCCACCAUGACUUCCAAGUAGUUNAGCUCACCCUUUCCUAUCAAUGUACUUUCAAUUGAUCAAGGUCCUUGCCUUUUAUGCAUUCAAAUGAGAACUCAUAGGGCUCACAUGCAUAAUUAACUCAAUUGGAACGGCACAGAAACAAGGUAAUGUCAACACGAUAGGUUGUAAACCUCUACUCGUGUGCUAGUGAUGAUCGAUAAGGUUUAUUCUUGAUUUGUUCUUGAAACCUUUCAAGACCAUUAAGACUCCCACUGACUCCUUGACAUAUAAGAUUCUCUUGUCAAUAAACAUUUCUUGACAAACAAAUAUUCAAGAGUUAGUGUAGCCUUUAUCAAGACAAAACAUUUCAUAAAAUUGGUCCUAGUUGGUCUUUGUCUUAUCCAAGACAUCACAACUUUCCAAUUUCAAAUGUGUGAGAAUAGGAAAGCCUUUUUCCAAAUUCUACAUUUGAUGAAUGUUAUAAACCUUCCUAAGACUUGUCACUUAAUGUCACAAUCUUAACUCUAAGACUUGUUUUGGAAUGAAGUAUGAUUGACUUCUUGAUUUAACCAUUUCUUCAAUUCUUGAUUCCUCUUCUUAUACAUACACUUUUACUAGGAUUUAUUUAGAGGAUCAAUUGAGAUAUGGUUCUUAAUCAUUAAGUCAUAUCAUAAAGCAUAAAAGGUACUCUCCCUUCUUCUUAGAAUAGAGAAACUUUUAUCUUUCUGCCUACUUGAUUCUUCUUAUUCGUUCUGCUAUUGAUUUAAACCUUUUUCAAUCAAUUCAGAAUUACACUUAAUCUUAUAAGCAUAAUCAUAUUUACUAAUCCUUUAGUAAAUCAUGACGAAUAUCUUUGUUACCCUUGUGGUGGACUUGAUCAACACACAACUUUGUGUACUCGAUCUCCUAGUCCUUCACUUGACACUUUGUCAACGAAUUAGUCUAAUUUCCAAAUAUGAAAUUUCUCAUUCAUCGUGCAACCAAGUUGCAUGAUUCCAAGUUUCUGUCCAAUUGAAACUUGGGCGAUGAGAAACUCUCCCUAUUUGGUAAAUUCUUGACAUUUCCACAAUUAACAUAAUUAAGAAUCAUAUCCAUUCGUUGUAGAAAUAUGCAAACAUCAAUUUUCAUAAUGAUUUCAUUGCAAGGAAAUAAAUAAAUAAAUAAAUAAGUCAUAUCAAAAAUUUAUUUUAUUCAUAAAAGCAGCGGAAAACAUUUGUCCUUACAAUGCAAAAUCAACUGAAAAACUAUGUAGUCAAAUAUUCCUAACAAUUCUAUCAUAACUUUCUAAGCUCAAAAUCUAAUCUUCAAGUCCAUGCGAUCGAGAUCCAUUUCUUCGUGAUUAGACUCAUCUUGCUUUUCCAUCAAGCUUCCUCUCUUUUCACUGAUCCUGCAAAACAUUCAAAUGCAAUCUUAUCACAUCAUGUAUUAAGAAUCAACGAAUAGGAACUUAAUGGAGUUAGAUAGUGGAUUUUACCUGAAGCACAACCAUACUCUUUGACUCUCCCAUCUUCUGGACUCUUCAGGCUCUUAGGGCAGACUUGUAUCCAACGCCCUUUCUCUUGGCAGCAAACGCAGGUCGGUUCUCCUAGAACGUCCUCGGAAGCAUGGUUGGUUGACUUUCCCAACAAAUAUGCUCCAUUGCUUUGCCAAAUCAUUUCUGAUUCAGCAGCAAUGAGCAUGUAAGUUAGGUCAAUGAGGUUUUCGUCAUGAUCCAUCAUAUAAUACUUUCUUUUGAACUCAUUAUAUGAUUCGGGAAGUGACUACAGAACCCAGUUCACAACUAACUUAUCCGGGAAUGAUGCACCCAACAUUAUUAACCUAUCGAUGUGUGAUUUCAUUACAAGAACGUGGGCACACACGGGUUUACCAUCUUCAUGUUUCAUUUCCAAUAGGGCUUUAGUGACAUUGAACCUUUCAAUUCUUCGAUCUUGUGGGUUAGGGAGGAUAAUUUGCGGAGGAGGAGGAAGUGAACAUGAUUUCUUAUUCCUCGAUCGAAUCAUGGAAUAUCAUCUUCAUGUGGAAUGCUUGUUCCAUGGGAAUUGGGAAGACCAUAGUUGUCGAACUUUGACAUCGACAAAACGGGAGAAAACGAAUUCAAGUUAGUUGAUUGAUUGAGUCCUUAAUAAAUCACCCAAAUGAGAUAUUAAGGCUAGGACCAAACUCAAUACACUACAACCUAGAAAAGGGAUGUCGUAAUCUAGUUGCAGAAUAUUUGAAGGUAAGUGAAUGACGAUUCACUAAUUUCCACCACGAAAAACGAAAAAGAAAUUUAAGUUUUAAAUCUAUGAAAACUCCUAGAUCCUUUGAGAUUCAUUGAACUUUCAAUGGCAUGUUUAUAUCUCGAUAUGCCCCUCUUGUUUGUGACUGGGAUGCCGAGGAUCACAAAGCGGGUGUGAAUAACCAUGCAAACUUACAUGGUGCCCUCACAUGUUACAGUCACCUAUUCGAUGUGCCGGUAAACCACACACGCUCCACCGAACUAUGACAAACAUUGAGUCACCCUUUGCUACCUUUGCUUAGAACCAUUUAGUGUGCCGGUAAACCACACACGCUCCACUAACGUCUUCGCAAGGGCACAAAGUGUAAUUUCAUGGAAUUGCAUCAAUUCACUUUUGCCUAAGUAACUAAGAUUGGGAAUUUAGUUACUUUUGUACUUCAUUAUACUUAUAAUAGAAGGUUCUAAUGGAAGGUUUCGUCCUAUCCUACCCGUUCGGCUAACGACCCUCCACUAGUCAAGAGUGCGGUGGGUAAGAGUGGAUACCCAUUCAAUCGCCAUUUUAUAGGCAAUUUCCUUAAACACCCCUUAUAGACCAGCUUCGUGAAUGAGGCCUACUAACGGUAAGACUGACUUUUACUCAUACAUAUAUAUAAUGUUAGACUUUUAAUGUUAUAUAUAGUAUAGGGUGUAUUUUACACUUUUAAAAUACUAGGUGGUCAAAUUUAACAAUUAUACUUUUAAUUCAAUUAAAUUGUAAACCAAAACUUUUAUGGAUUUAUUAAACCUCUUUUAAUUAUACACCUUAAUUAAUUAAUAAAACCAUAAGGGUGUGAUUUGAACUUUUUCAAAACUAUACUAGAGUUUUAGAAUUUAACAUUCCUAAUUAAACUUUUAAUCAACUUUUAAAUUCCAAAACUUGAGGGCAAGUUUUGAAACAUUUCAACACAUUAGGGUUUAGAAUUUAAAUAUACAUCAAAAUUAAACUAUUUAAUCAAAAUUUAAAUUCCAAAACUUGAGGGCAAGUUUUGAAACCCUUUUCAAAACAUUAGGGUUUCAACUAUUUAAAUUUCAAAACAAAACUUUUAAGUUCAAAUUUAAACUAUAAAACCUAAAGGGGGAAAAUUGAAACUUUUCAUACAAGAUAAUUCAAAUCUAAAUUACAAAUAUUCAAAUUUUAUCUAAUAAAACAAAAGGUUAUCUAAAUUUUGACAAUUAUCUUCUAUUUAGGUAAGGAUAAUCACCAAAUAUUGAUAAAAUUCGGUUUUUAUAACAAAAACAUGUUUAUGGUAAGUAUCCAAAGCCGAAACAGGAAGAAAAUCGUGAAAAUUAGCUGUCAGAUGUUUUGACUCGUCGAGUCUGGACUUGGACUCGUCGAGUACACCUGACUCGGCGAGUGCACCAAGUGACUCGGCGAGNNNNNNNNNNNNNNNNNNNNNNNNNNNNNNNNNNNNNNNNNNNNNNNNGCAUCAAUACAAUAGAAACCAAUCUAGGCUCUGAUACCACUGAUGGGUUUUAGCCAUAAGAACAUCCUAUGUGCUCAUACAAACCCUAAUGCUUGGAUCUAGGUUUCUCUAUUGUACAUGCAAGUUAUCCAAGACUAUAAACCCUAGGUCUAGCAUAUGAUAAUCAAUAUAACAUAUAAAUAAGAGUUUAGAUCAUACCUUGAUUGUUAUAUAGCAAUAACAAUCACAAUCCUUUCUUUUAAUGACUUUAGAAAGCUUAGAGUCACAAAUCUCACUCCUCUAAUUGUUCACAAACACCAAGAGCAAGAGGAUGAAGAGGAGAAGAGAAGGAGGCUGCCCAAAACGUGUGGAAACCCUAGAAGAAGUCUUGUUUACGUUUUUGGGGCAUAAGGGAUCCUUAAAUAGUAAGGCUAUUAGGGUUAUCUAACAAGGAAACCCUAAUUUGGAUGCUUAAGCCCUAAGCAACCCAUGGGCUCCUCCCUUAAAGGACUUGGACGAUUUCUAAUGGGUUUCCCCACAGAAUUCGUCCACUCCUUUAAUAUGGAGUCCAUUAGCUCAAUAUUCAACUAUCAUCCAAUUGACAGUUCAAGUCCCUUAAGUUUAAUUAGUGUCUUUUAGUCACAAACUUAAUUCUUAUUAAUUCUUGACUAAUAUUAAUUAAACAAUUAGUAUUUCUCCUUUAAUAUAUUAUUCCCAUAACAUAUUAAUAAAUCAUAUUUAAUCCUUUCUCUCCAUAAUUCAUCCUAUCAAGUUGCUUUGGUGAAGGAAACCCAAAAGGACCAUGCACCAUCGGGUCAAGUACAUACCAAAAUAGUUAUGGACUUAGAGACUAAUCCAACAAAAACUCCCAAGAUCAUGAAAUCUAACCAAAAUAGAUGAAAAAGAUGCAAGUUAAUACCUUCUACAGCAGUUUCAUGCGAAGGUGUUAACUUGCAUCCUUUUCAUCUAUUUUGGUUAGAUUUCAUGAUGUUGGGAGUUUCUGCCUUCUCUCCAAGGCUGUUUCUGACGUCAAUUGGUUAUGGCACCGAAGGCUCGCUCAUCUAAAUUUUUGGUACAUGAAUGAUCUUGUAUCUGGUGAAAUGGUUAGAGGUUUACCUCUACUCAAAUUCGAAAAUGAUCAUUUGUGUGCUGCUUAUGAGUGCGGUAAACAAUCAAAGAAGGGUCAUCCUGUCAUCAUCGAAAAAUCCAUUUCGGAACCUCUGGAGCUUCUACACAUUGAUCUUUCUGGAACUUCCACUAUAGAAAGUCUUCAUCAUAAGAAAUACAUUCUUGUGAUUGUUGAUGAUUUUACACGGUUCACUUGGUUCUUCUUUCUUCGGCUGAAAUCCGAAACAGCCUCAGAGCUCAUCAAUUUUAUCAACGGAAUAGAAGUUCUCAUCAAACUCCCAGUUAGGAUAAUCUAAAGUGACAAUGGCUCGGAAUUCACUAAUUCCACCAUUGAAAAGUUCCUCACCGAAAAAGGAAUUGACCACAACUUCUCAGCUCCUUAUACCCCACAACAAAAUGGUGUAGUCGAACGACAAAAUAGAACUCUCGUUGAAGUUGUUCGAUCCAUGUUGAAUUUCACAAAUCUACCACUCUACCUUUGGGCUGAAGCAGUAUCUACUGCUUGCUUCACUCAAAAUCAGAGUAUCAUCAAUCGACACCUCAACAUGACAGCAUAUGAAGGAAUGAAUGGUCGGAAGCCAACAAUCUCGUUUGUACAUGUCUUCGGAUGCAGGUGCUUCAUCAAGAACAACCGAUAUCAGCUUACCAAGUUUCAACCUAAAGCUGAUGAAGCCAUCUUCCUUGGGUAGUCCUCAAAAUCGAAAGCUUACAAAGUUUUUAACUGGAGAACUCGUGUUCUGGAAGAAAGCUUUGAUGUUACUUUCGAUGACAACUUCGUCCGGAAUUCUGGCCCUACUAACAUCACCACUCACAUUAUGGAGUCCGAUGCUCCUCCUCCAGGAUGUCCGAACCCUCAAACUUGUUAGGUUUUGAGCAUUCUAACACUCCUAAGUUUACAUGCAACCCUAAAUACCUUGGAUCUAUGUUUUCUCUAUAAUACAUGCAAAUAUGAACUUUCCAAGUUAUUCAUCCUAACUAGCAUAAUAACAUUGAUUCAUAUGAAUAUAUCAAGUUAGAAUUACAUACCUCUUUGAUGUAUAAUGUCUUCAUGAAGCUUGAGUGCCUAGUGCCCCAAGUGUAACACCUCAAAUGGUUCACACAACACCAAAUACACUUGGAAUAUAUUAUAGAGAAAUCCACACUUCAUGAAAAUCGGCUAGCCCUUUCUCUCACAUAUAGUGUCCGAUUUUGUCAACAAUAAGAUGCUUAUAUAGUUAGUGACAAUUAGGGUGAACCCUAAUUGUAAUGGCUUUCCAUUUCCUUGGAUCCAUGGGUUCAAAUAUACCAUGGAGCAUCUUAUGGGUUUUAGCCCAACUAGAGAAUCCAUGAAGCAUUAGCCCACUAUACAAGUAUGGAUGAUUUACACAAUGAAUCCAUAUAUUUAGUUAGUCUUAUUUUGAUCACUUAAUUAAUCCUAGAUUAAUUCUUGAUCAAUACUAAUUAAAUAAUCUUAUUAAUAUAUUAGAACUUAUAAUAUAUUAACAAACCUUAAGUGUUAUUUCUCUCAUUAUAGUCUAUCCAAAUGCAUGAUGCCAUGCAACCCAAAUGGACCAUGCUAGGUCGGGUCAAGUCUUACCAAUUAUAGUUAUGGACUUAGACAUUAAUCCAACAGUCUCCCACUUGGAUAAGUCUAAAACUAUUAUUGCAAGUAUGACUUCAAGAACCGACUGGCAAUCGUAGCUCUCAAAAGCUUAUGUCGAACUCUGACCUUGCCGAUGAUCUCUGACCUUUGUGAAUGACUUGUCCAUUAGAUAAGGGAUCAUAUAUUCCUUCAUUCUAGUUAUCAUAUGGACUGAGACAUGGAUUAUAAUCAUUCUCUCUGUCCAUUUUUUGUUUCCCGAUUUCCGAUUUAUGACGACUGACUAAUUGAACAAAUCAAAUCAGUCCAGGCCCGGCCGAGCACUUACAUUUGUCAUCACCAAAUCAUCGAGGGGCCCACAGAUAUCGCUUUUAUCCCGAAGGUAAAAGGAAUGGAUAAACUUCGACUCAUAUGGCUUGUUCUACUACUUGUUGAAUCAUACACAAAGGCACGUUUUAUAGCACCGAGUUACCAAAUGCGUUUUCGUGCAAUCAAUGUACUAUCAACUCAUAGUAACAACUCAUAUCUCUAGGUUUGAAGAAUAUAAGAUAUUAUCGUCUCAUGAUCACUCGUGAUAAAAUCCAUGAAGUGAUUCCAAUGAGCGCGGGUUGAAUCCAAUACUCAGAACUUAUGAGCACUCAUGAGUGUUGUAGCCCUUUGUCCAACACCUUAGACCUCUACAAGCCAACCCAUGACAGUCUUAAUUCAUAUCUACUUCCAACAUAUGACCGACUGUGGAUGGUUUGAAUAACUUAGUCAUUCCGGAAGAAUAACCUAGUUUAUUCGGGAAGUCAAAACAUGCAAAAUGAAACACAAUAAUAAUUGAAUCCAAUAUGGUAUCAACCCUUUGAACAUAAAUAAAACACCUUUUAUUUAUCACCAUAUGAUUACACAUUAUUCAUUGUAUACUGUUUCAGCUAUCAACUUUAUUCUUGAAUUUAAAACAAUAGUUGUCCCAUGCUCCAAGCAUGUACACUAUGUUUUCUUAAACACUAGUCAUGCCACACACCAAGUAUGCAUACUAUGUUUGUCUAUGAUCUUUACUUUGUGAACUAGAUCCAUUGAACAUAACUUCAAUGAUUCUCUUUUCACACUCCCAAAUCCUUACCGCAAAUGCAAGAAUUCCAAAUUCAUGCCAUUUACUGAAAUCUGUUAGAUUCUAAACUUAUAUGCAUUGAUCCUCUUGUAAUGAUUAUGCACAAAGUCAUAAAGACUUGACAAAAAAUAUUAAAGAGCAUUCCAAAGGAGAUCAAAUCCACGAAAACAUCCUUCUUGCAUUAAAUUUUCCUAAUCUUAC